RNAcentral lists this ribosomal RNA (497 nucleotides) under uncultured bacterium. Its description in RNAcentral is "partial 16S ribosomal RNA". It matches the Rfam family "Bacterial small subunit ribosomal RNA", at positions 28 to 507 of the family's 1533-position model. The record is from RNAcentral.
GAUGAACGCUGGCGGCGUGCCUAAUACAUGCAAGUCGAGCGAACGGACGAGAAGCUUGCUUCUCUGAUGUUAGCGGCGGACGGGUGAGUAACACGUGGAUAACCUACCUAUAAGACUGGGAUAACUUCGGGAAACCGGAGCUAAUACCGGAUAAUAUUUUGAACCGCAUGGUUCAAAAGUGAAAGACGGUCUUGCUGUCACUUAUAGAUGGAUCCGCGCUGCAUUAGCUAGUUGGUAAGGUAACGGCUUACCAAGGCAACGAUGCAUAGCCGACCUGAGAGGGUGAUCGGCCACACUGGAACUGAGACACGGUCCAGACUCCUACGGUAGGCAGCAGUAGGGACUCUUCCGCAAUGGGCGAAAGCCUGACGGAGCAACGCCGCGUGAGUGAUGAAGGUCUUCGGAUCGUAAAACUCUGUUAUUAGGGAAAAACAUAUGUGUAAGUAACUGUGCACAUCUUGACGGUACCUAAUCAGAAAGCCACGGCUAACUACGUG